CCGUUGCCCUUCUCAAUAGGGUGGAUCUGAGAAAGGAGGUGUGUGCUGUAGCGGCGGCUGGCCAUUCCAACGGCACCAACCUCCUCACCGGCCUGGCUCUGGGGACGAAUGCACAUGCCAUGUGGGUGGGCAGGUCCGUCACCCUCCUCAAUGUCAUGGAUCUCUGAAAGGAGGCGCGCCCUGCGACGAUGGCCGGCCAUUGCAGCAACCUCCUCACUUGGGUGGAUCUGUGGACUGAAGGGCGUGCCGCAUGGGUGGGCCAAUCCGUUGCUUUCUUUGAUGUCAUGGAUCUGAGAAAGGAGGCGCGCGUUGCAGCGGCGACUCACCACCCCGACGGCACCAAGACCGAGAUGAAGCAGGAAGGCACGGGGAAAGGGGAAUGUGGUAUCUUUCCUGAC
This 398-nucleotide long non-coding RNA is filed under the name Hordeum vulgare. RNAcentral's name for it is "long non-coding RNA (HVUL_LNC008867)". Lineage: Eukaryota; Viridiplantae; Streptophyta; Magnoliopsida; Poales; Poaceae. The record is from RNAcentral.